GGAGCUCUUCAAACCAUUACUGAAAUUGCCAUUAAGAUACACCUGCUGCACAAGCUUUCUCAAGUACUUUUUUCCACUGGAUUUCUGCCUUUUCUUCCCCCACCUUCACCUCAUGAAGUUCUGUGCAUCAUUCAAGGUCAAUUUCUAGCAUCAGGCCCUUCAAGAUCUUGCUCACAUGGGAUUGGUGAGUGUCUGUGGUGUUGCAGGUACCAUGUCAAAGUGUGGAAUAGCAAGAUGUCUAAGACAAGGUACUGUCCUUCAGGAAACAUACAAUGUAAUGGAGGGAACUCCCUCAGAGAUCGUUUCAGUAUAAGGAGUGAGUCCAGCAGUAGAAGUGUUACAAACACAUUCUUCGUUCCUUAUUUGAACCGCCAAAGCAGGUGGCUGAUGUCCCUCUUUUGACAAUAAUCUUAUUCAGUAAUAAAGUACAGUGCAAAGAGAAGCUUUAUUAAACU
Molecule: long non-coding RNA, 455 nt
Filed under: Felis catus (domestic cat)
Lineage: Eukaryota; Metazoa; Chordata; Mammalia; Carnivora; Felidae
Description: lncRNA (ENSFCAG00000044405.2)
Source: RNAcentral